RNAcentral lists this ribosomal RNA (253 nucleotides) under uncultured bacterium. Its description in RNAcentral is "partial 16S ribosomal RNA". It matches the Rfam family "Bacterial small subunit ribosomal RNA", at positions 524 to 776 of the family's 1533-position model. The record is from RNAcentral.
UACGUAGGGGGCAAGCGUUGUUCGGAAUCACUGGGCGUAAAGGGAGCGUAGGCGGAGGGAUAAGUUAGAAGUUUAAUGUACGGGCUUAACUCGUAAUCUGCUUCUAAUACUGUUUUUCUUGAGUAUGGGAGAGGGAGAUGGAAUUCCAGGUGUAGCGGUGGAAUGCGUAGAUAUCUGGAAGAACACCAGCUGCGAAGGCGGUCUCCUGGCCCAAUACUGACGCUGAGGCUCGAAAGCUAGGGGAGCAAACAGG